RNAcentral lists this ribosomal RNA (509 nucleotides) under uncultured bacterium. RNAcentral's name for it is "bacterial SSU rRNA". It matches the Rfam family "Bacterial small subunit ribosomal RNA", at positions 8 to 502 of the family's 1533-position model. The record is from RNAcentral.
AGAGUUUGAUCCUGGCUCAGAAUGAACGCUGGCGGCGUGCCUAACACAUGCAAGUCGAACGAGAAACUUCGAGCUUGCUCGAAGAAGUAAAGUGGCGCACGGGUGAGUAACGCGUGAGUAACCUGCCCUUGAAUCUGGGAUAACUUCGCGAAAGCGUUGCUAAUACCGGAUAUCGUCCUUGAGGCUUUGGUCUUGAGGAUGAAAGAUGACCUAUUCAUGAAAGUUGUUGUUCGUGGAGGGGCUCGCGUACCAUUAGCUUGUUGGUGGGGUAAUGGCCUACCAAGGCGACGAUGGUUAGCUGGUCUGAGAGGAUGAUCAGCCACACUGGAACUGAAACACGGUCCAGACUCCUACGGGAGGCAGCAGUGGGGAAUUUUGCGCAAUGGGCGAAAGCCUGACGCAGCGACGCCGCGUGGAGGAAGAAGGCCUUUGGGUUGUAAACUCCUUUCGUGAGGGAAAAAGUCUCGAGCAAUCGGGAUGAUGUACCUCAAGAAGAAGCCACGCUAACU